AUUGAACGCUGGCGGCAGGCCUAACACAUGCAAGUCGAACGGUGACAGGGAUCAGCUUGCUGAUUCGCUGACGAGUGGCGGACGGGUGAGUAAUGUCUGGGAAACUGCCUGAUGGAGGGGGAUAACUACUGGAAACGGUAGCUAAUACCGCAUAACGUCGCAAGACCAAAGAGGGGGACCUUCGGGCCUCUUGCCAUCGGAUGUGCCCAGAUGGGAUUAGCUAGUAGGUGGGGUAACGGCUCACCUAGGCGACGAUCCCUAGCUGGUCUGAGAGGAUGACCAGCCACACUGGAACUGAGACACGGUCCAGACUCCUACGGGAGGCAGCAGUGGGGAAUAUUGCACAAUGGGCGCAAGCCUGAUGCAGCCAUGCCGCGUGUAUGAAGAAGGCCUUCGGGUUGUAAAGUACUUUCAGCGGGGAGGAAGGGAGUAAAGUUAAUACCUGUGCUCAUUGACGUUACCCGCAGAAGAAGCACCGGCUAACUCCGUG
Molecule: ribosomal RNA, 490 nt
Filed under: uncultured bacterium
Lineage: Bacteria
Description: partial 16S ribosomal RNA
Rfam family: Bacterial small subunit ribosomal RNA
Source: RNAcentral